GUGUCAGCAGCCGCGGUAACACGUAGGGACCAAGCGUUGUCCGGAUUUAUUGGGCGUAAAGAGCUCGUAGGCGGUUCGGUAAGUCGGGUGUGAAAACUCUGGGCUCAACUCGGAGAGGCCACCCGAUACUGCCGUGACUUGAGUCCGGUAGGGGAGCACGGAAUUCCUGGUGUAGCGGUGAAAUGCGCAGAUAUCAGGAGGAACACCGGUGGCGAAGGCGGUGCUCUGGGCCGGUACUGACGCUGAGGAGCGAAAGCGUGGGUAGCAAACAGGAUUAGAUACCCCGGUAGUCC
Molecule: ribosomal RNA, 293 nt
Filed under: uncultured bacterium
Lineage: Bacteria
Description: partial 16S ribosomal RNA
Rfam family: Bacterial small subunit ribosomal RNA
Source: RNAcentral